ACCAGGAUGGCCCAGUGGUUGAGGGGUUGAAAUUAAAACCCAAUGGAUGUAUGUCCAUGUGUAUUCGAACCCCACUUCUGGUA
Molecule: transfer RNA, 83 nt
Filed under: Alosa alosa (allis shad)
Lineage: Eukaryota; Metazoa; Chordata; Actinopteri; Clupeiformes; Clupeidae
Description: tRNA-Leu
Source: RNAcentral